UAACAGCUUCUCCCUCUCUGUCCUCUGGCAUUCUGCCUUCCAGGGAAUGCUGUGUCUGCCUUAGAGCGUGCAUUUGUACUCUCCACCUGCGGGUCCUUGAGCAUGUUCAUCCAUGCCAUAACUAUCCUGCCCUGGCCCUGCAGAGCUCCACCUGAGUGCAGUGGUAACCUGCUUCUGCACAGGUCGUGCACUGGUUUCUUUCUCCUCAUCAUAUUGCACCAGGUUUCCACUCUCCAGCAUUUCCUGGGCUCAUCUCGCAAAUAAACAGCUUGUCCUUGAAUCUUUACCUCCUGGUCCAGGCCUUGGGUGGCCUGAGGUCAUCUGGUGAGGGAGGAGUCUGAAAGGCCAGCAGAAUCAGAGCACAGGAAGGCUGGAGUUCUCAAAGGAAGCUCUGUGGAUCCCCAGUGUCACUAGAGACCUUUUCAGGGAGAUGCUGGAGAAGGAACCACGGGCCUUACUCACACUAGGCACAUCUACCAGUCAGCUAUGCCCAUGCUAAUAAGUCCUGUGAUUUAGAAGUUUGAGAACUGCUGAUGUAAAAACCUGGAAGAUUGCAAGGUUUUAGGUAUCCUCUCCCUUGCAGUGAGGAGUCACUGAAGGGCUUUAAUCAGGGGACAUUGCAGUGUUGGAGUUGAUGGAAGGCACCUGAAAAAGAUUGAAGUUCUUACCCUUGAACAAUCUGGGCUCUCAGGGGGAGGACCGGAUCUGCUUUGUCAGGAGCAGAGCUGCACUUUUGGCACGAACUUACAAAACUAGCACCAGAAUGGAAAUAUGAAGCCUCCAGUGUAUUUUUCCAAAAUCCGUUUUCCCCCCUGUGAUUCCCUUGAAAAAGAGGGGAAAAAAAUCCCU
Long non-coding RNA from Fukomys damarensis (Damara mole-rat), 849 nucleotides. RefSeq lists it as uncharacterized. The record is from RefSeq and is a predicted model, not a curated record. The transcript has 4 exons. Lineage: Eukaryota; Metazoa; Chordata; Mammalia; Rodentia; Bathyergidae.